CUGACAGCUGUCCUUCAUGACAACAGAAGCCACAGAAAUCCUCCUCAUCAAAAACAUGACUUUGAUCUCCGUCCUCAUCUGGACUCUCCUCUGCUGCUGCUUCACAGAGUCCAGAGGCCAGAUCACAGUGACUCAGCCUGCAGCAGUGAGAGCUGAUCUGAGAGGAUCUGCAACCAUCAGCUGUAAGACCAGUCAGAAUGUUGCUGGAGACUGUGGCGGUUCCAGCCCUUGUUUAUUCUGGUACCAACACAGAGAUGGAGAAACUCUUAAACUUCUCAUUUAUCGUGCUACCACUCGAGCAUCAGGGAUUCCAGGUCGUUUUUCAGGCAGUGGAUCAAACUCUGACUUCACUCUGACCAUCAGUGGAGUUCAGGCUGAAGAUGCAGCCGUUUAUUACUGUCAGAGUCUUCAUUGGCCCAACAGUCAGCUUGUGAUCACACAGUGA
This is a non-coding RNA of Scomber japonicus (chub mackerel), 445 nucleotides long. NCBI's taxonomy places the organism in Eukaryota, Metazoa, Chordata, Actinopteri, Scombriformes, Scombridae. The record is from the annotation of a RefSeq genome assembly.